GUGUCUUAGGAGGCAGGAAAAGUCAUCGUUCCAUUGCCAUGGAGAUCCCAUUCCCACCUGGUGAUGCUGUGGAAGACAAGCCAAGAUGUAAACUGGAGGCAGACCAUCAGUAGCUCCCUGGAGAAGACAAUUAACUGGAGAAGUCAGAUUCCCGAACGAGCUAGGGCCCUGAGCAGUGACAGCCUGAUGUCCCAGCCUGGGCACUCUACACCUCAGUGGGCAGGCGGCAGCGGCAGAAAGGGUGACAGUGAAAUCUCCCUGGACAAGAAGAAAAAGUUGAGGUAGAGUCCCUGGCACUGCAAAUGGGAUGAGCAGGGAUUCGGAGACGGGUCAGGAAAGGAUUGAUCAUUUUGCUUCUCCUAGACGCUAACCUAAUUGCUGCUCCUUGAUCAUUAAUUAUGAAACCUGAAAUGAUUAAAUUGUUAUCCAGUCUAAAAA
This is a long non-coding RNA of Tachyglossus aculeatus (Australian echidna), 438 nucleotides long. RefSeq lists it as uncharacterized. Lineage: Eukaryota; Metazoa; Chordata; Mammalia; Monotremata; Tachyglossidae. The record is from RefSeq and is a predicted model, not a curated record. The transcript has 2 exons.